GACGAACGCUGGCGGCGUGCUUAACACAUGCAAGUCGAACGGUAAGGCCCUUCGGGGUACACGAGUGGCGAACGGGUGAGUAACACGUGGGUGAUCUGCCCUGCACUUCGGGAUAAGCCUGGGAAACUGGGUCUAAUACCGGAUAGGACCACUGCCUGCAGGGGUGGUGGUGGAAAGCUUUUGCGGUGUGGGAUGGGCCCGCGGCCUAUCAGCUUGUUGGUGGGGUGAUGGACUACCAAGGCGACGACUGGUAGCCGGGCUGAGAGGGUGACCGGCCACACUGGGACUGAGAUACGGCCCAGACUCCUACGGGAGGCAGCAGUGGGGAAUAUUGCACAAUGGGAGCAAGCCUGAUGCAGCGACGCCGCGUGAGGGAUGACGGCCUUCGGGUUGUAAACCUCUUUCAGCACCGACGAAGCGCAAGUGACGGUAGGUGCAGAAGAAGGACCGGCCAACUACGUGCCAGCCGCCGCCGUAA
RNAcentral lists this ribosomal RNA (478 nucleotides) under uncultured bacterium. RNAcentral describes it as "partial 16S ribosomal RNA". It matches the Rfam family "Bacterial small subunit ribosomal RNA", at positions 28 to 523 of the family's 1533-position model. The record is from RNAcentral.